This 468-nucleotide ribosomal RNA is filed under the name uncultured bacterium. Its description in RNAcentral is "partial 16S ribosomal RNA". It matches the Rfam family "Bacterial small subunit ribosomal RNA", at positions 28 to 507 of the family's 1533-position model. The record is from RNAcentral.
GACGAACGCUGGCGGCGUGCUUAACACAUGCAAGUCGAACGGAAAGGCCCUGCUUUUGUGGGGUGCUCGAGUGGCGAACGGGUGAGUAACACGUGAGUAACCUGCCCUUGACUUUGGGAUAACUUCAGGAAACUGGGGCUAAUACCGGAUAGGAGCUCCUGCUGCAUGGUGGGGGUUGGAAAGGUUCGGCGGUUGGGGAUGGACUCGCGGCUUAUCAGCUUGUUGGUGGGGUAGUGGCUUACCAAGGCGUUGACGGGUAGCCGGCCUGAGAGGGUGACCGGCCACAUUGGGACUGAGAUACGGCCCAGACUCCUACGGGAGGCAGCAGUGGGGAAUAUUGCACCAUGGGCGGAAGCCUGAUGCAGCAACGCCGCGUGCGGGAUGACGGCCUUCGGGUUGUAAACCGCUUUCGCCUGUGACGAAGCGUGAGUGACGGUAAUGGGUAAAGAAGCACCGGCUAACUACGUG